Molecule: ribosomal RNA, 729 nt
Filed under: uncultured fungus
Lineage: Eukaryota; Fungi
Description: SSU rRNA
Rfam family: Eukaryotic small subunit ribosomal RNA
Source: RNAcentral
GAUGGUAGGAUAGAGGCCUACCAUGGUGGUAACGGGUAACGGGGUGUUAGGGCACGACACCGGAGAGGGAGCCUGAGAAACGGCUACCACAUCCAAGGAUGGCAGCAGGCGCGCAAAUUACCCAAUCCCGACACGGGGAGGUAGUGACAAUAAAUAACAAUACGGGGUUCUUUAGGAUCUCGUAAUUGGAAUGAGUACAAUUUAAAUCUCUUAACGAGGAACAAUUGGAGGGCAAGUCUGGUGCCAGCAGCCGCGGUAAUUCCAGCUCCAAUAGCGUAUAUUAAAGUUGUUGCAGUUAAAAAGCUCGUAGUUGAAUUUCGGGGUUAGUAGGUUGGUCAUGCCUCUGGUAUGUACUGGUCUCACUGAUUCCUCCUUCCUUAUGAACCGUAAUGCCAUUAAUUUGGUGUUGCGGGGAAUUUGGACUGUUACUUUGAAAAAAUUAGAGUGUUUAAAGCAAGCUAACGCUUGAAUACAUUAGCAUGGAAUAAUGAAAUAGGACGUUCGAUCUUAUUUUGUUGGUUUCUAGGAUUGACGUAAUGAUUAAUAGGGAUAGUUGGGGGCAUUAGUAUUCAAUUGUCAGAGGUGAAAUUCUUGGAUUUAUUGAAGACUAACUACUGCGAAAGCAUUUGCCAAGGAUGUUUUCAUUAAUCAAGAACGAAAGUUAGGGGAUCGAAGACGAUCAGAUACCGUCGUAGUCUUAACCAUAAACUAUGCCGACUAGGGAUCGGA